Molecule: non-coding RNA, 432 nt
Organism: Pelobates cultripes (western spadefoot toad)
Lineage: Eukaryota; Metazoa; Chordata; Amphibia; Anura; Pelobatidae
Source: the annotation of a GenBank genome assembly
GAGAGCAGAAACCCUACACCACCACCUUUGCUUUCAGAGUUUCUUGGGUUGUGGGAAAAUUGAAGACCACUAAAGGAUAGAGAGGCUGGGGUAGCGGUGUCAGAGGGAGAGAGCCAUGUUUCAGUUAAGGCUAGUAGGUCUAGGGAAUGAGAGAGGAAAAUCUCAUGCACAGCAGUGGAUUUAGUAACACUGCAAACAGAGUGUGCAUUCCAGAGGAUUAAAGGAAGAGUGACAUAAAAUGGGCAUGAGAUUAUUGUGAUUCCUGGAGUUAGCACAUGGUGGGUUUGCAGAGGUGGGACUGGGAUUUGGAGAGACAUCACCAGCUGCUAGGAGCAGAAGGAUAGAAAGUAAGAGAAGGUGGGAGUAGGAUUUAGAGGUUUUGUGAGAGUGUUUGUAUUUAGAUGGUUUAGAAAGGGUUGGUGGAGAUAGGCU